Molecule: ribosomal RNA, 253 nt
Filed under: uncultured bacterium
Lineage: Bacteria
Description: partial 16S ribosomal RNA
Rfam family: Bacterial small subunit ribosomal RNA
Source: RNAcentral
UACGGAGGAUCCAAGCGUUAUCCGGAUUUAUUGGGUUUAAAGGGUGCGUAGGCGGAUUGAUAAGUUAGAGGUGAAAUGUCCGAGCUCAACUCGGGAACUGCCUCUAAUACUGUUGGUCUAGAGAGUAGAUGCGGUAGGCGGAAUGUAUGGUGUAGCGGUGAAAUGCUUAGAGAUCAUACAGAACACCGAUUGCGAAGGCAGCUUACCAAUCUAUAUCUGACGUCGAGGCACGAAAGCGUGGGGAGCAAACAGG